RNAcentral lists this ribosomal RNA (772 nucleotides) under uncultured Neocallimastigales. RNAcentral describes it as "partial large subunit ribosomal RNA". It matches the Rfam family "Eukaryotic large subunit ribosomal RNA", at positions 23 to 619 of the family's 3401-position model. The record is from RNAcentral. Lineage: Eukaryota; Fungi; Neocallimastigomycota; Neocallimastigomycetes; Neocallimastigales.
AGAGAGAGACAUGCGCGCAUAUCAAUAAGCGGAGGAAAAGAAACUAACAAGGAUUCCCUUAGUAACGGCGAGUGAAGCGGGAAGAGCUCAAAUUUGAAAUCUUCAAGGUUUUACCUUGACGAAUUGUAGUUUAAAGAAGUGUUUUCUGCUGAAGUUUUGGUAAAAGUUCUUUGGAAUAGGACAUCAUAGAGGGUGAGAAUCCCGUAUUUGACCAUUAUUUUCAGCUUUGUGAUACACUUUCAAAGAGUCGGAUUGUUUGGGAAUGCAGUCCAAAAUGGGUGGUAAAUUUCAUCUAAAGCUAAAUAUUGGCGAGAGACCGAUAGCGAACAAGUACCGUGAGGGAAAGAUGAAAAGAACUUUGAAAAGAGAGUUAAACAGUACGUGAAAUUGUCAAAAGGGAAGCGUUGACACCAGUGUUGUUUUCUCGAAAAUCAAUUAAAAAUGGCUCGAUUUUGUAUUGUUGAGACCUUAAAAGCUCACUGUACAUUUUUCGUGUCUUUUUUAAUGCACUUUUCGUUUAACAAGUCAACAUCAGUUUCCUUUGUUGUAAAAGGGUCAUUGGAAGGUGGCUUUCUUUUCGGAGAAAGUGUUUAUAGCCUUUGGCCUCUGCAAUCGGAGAGACUGAGGUCUGCAGCGUAGACUCUUCGGGGUUAGAUACAUUUGUGCUAAGUUAUAGCUUUUUAUAGACAACUUGUUGACUAUAAUUAGUCUUGUAGCUUACUCGCUUAUGCUAUUUUACCUACGCUUAGGAUGUUGAAGAUGUAGCACAUCA